UACGAAGGGGGCUAGCGUUGCUCGGAAUCACUGGGCGUAAAGGGUGCGCAGGCGGGUCUUUAAGUCAGGGGUGAAAUCCUGGAGCUCAACUCCAGAACUGCCUUUGAUACUGAGGAUCUUGAGUUCGGGAGAGGUGAGUGGAACUGCGAGUGUAGAGGUGAAAUUCGUAGAUAUUCGCAAGAACACCAGUGGCGAAGGCGGCUCACUGGCCCGAUACUGACGCUGAGGCACGAAAGCGUGGGGAGCAAACAGG
Molecule: ribosomal RNA, 253 nt
Filed under: uncultured bacterium
Lineage: Bacteria
Description: partial 16S ribosomal RNA
Rfam family: Bacterial small subunit ribosomal RNA
Source: RNAcentral